Ornithorhynchus anatinus (platypus) is the source of this 138-nucleotide non-coding RNA. The record is from Rfam. NCBI's taxonomy places the organism in Eukaryota, Metazoa, Chordata, Mammalia, Monotremata, Ornithorhynchidae.
UCCCUCUCAGGGUCACAUCUGGAGAGUUCCCAGUACUCUACCCAUCUCGACUACAAGAGGGAGAGUCAGGCAGAGGCACAUCCAUUCCAGUCCUAGCUUGGGCAGUGGCUAGCGAGUGGAAGGCAAUCUGCCACAAGU